AGAGUUUGAUCAUGGCUCAGGACGAACGCUGGCGGCGUGCCUAACACAUGCAAGUGGAGCGACGAACCGGGCUUCGGCCCGGGGCAAAGCCGCGAACGGGUGAGUAACACGUGGGUAACCUGCCCUGAUGAUUGGGACAACCCGAGGAAACUCGGGCUAAUACCAAAUGUGCCCUCCGACCAUAAGGUCGCUGGGGAAAGGAAGCUUCGGCCUCCGCAUCGGGAUGGGCCCGCGGCCCAUUAGCUUGUUGGUGAGGUAACGGCUCACCAAGGCAACGAUGGGUAGCUGGUCUGAGAGGACGAUCAGCCACACUGGGACUGAGACACGGCCCAGACUCCUACGGGAGGCAGCAGUGGGGAAUCUUGCGCAAUGCGCGAAAGCGUGACGCAGCAACGCCGCGUGGGGGAAGAAGGCCUUCGGGUUGUAAACCCCUUUCAGUUGGGACGAAGCUCUGCCGGUGAAUAGCCGGUUGGAGUGACGGUACCUUCAGAAGAAGCCCCGGCUAACUACGUGCCAGCAGCCGCGGUAAUACGUAGGGGGCAAGCGUUGUCCGGAAUCAUUGGGCGUAAAGAGCGUGUAGGCGGCUCGGUAAGUCCGCUCUGAAAGCCCGGGGCUCAACCCCGGGAGGCGGGCGGAUACUGUCGAGCUAGAGUCCGGAAGAGGCGAGUGGAAUUCCUGGUGUAGCGGUGAAAUGCGCAGAUAUCAGGAGGAACACCAAUGGCGAAGGCAGCUCGCUGGGACGGUACUGACGCUGAGACGCGAAAGCGUGGGGAGCAAACAGGAUUAGAUACCCCAGUAGUCC
This 802-nucleotide ribosomal RNA is filed under the name uncultured bacterium. RNAcentral describes it as "bacterial SSU rRNA". It matches the Rfam family "Bacterial small subunit ribosomal RNA", at positions 8 to 796 of the family's 1533-position model. The record is from RNAcentral.